UUUUUGAGGCGCAGUCUUGCUCUGUUACCCAGGCUAGAGUGCAGUGGCACGAUCUCCUGCCUCUGCCUCCCGAGUAGCUGGGACUACAGGCUUGAGCCACUGCAUACAGCCUCUGAUGAAGAUUUGAUGAAUUAGAAUAGGAGAGGCAGGCAUGGUGGCUGACGCUUGUAAUCCUAGCACUCUGGGAGGCCAAGGUGGGAGGAUCGCUUGAAGCCAGGAGUUCCAGACCAACCAGGGCAACAUGGCAAAACCUCAUCUCAAAAAAAAAAAUGCAAAAACUAGCCGGGUGGGGUGGCGAGUGCCUGUAGUCCCAGCUACUUGGGAGGCUGAGGUGGGAGGAUCACCAGAACCCAGGCGGUUGAGGCUGCGGUGAGCUGUGAUCGUGCCACUGCACUCCAGCCUGAGCGAGAGUAAGACCCUAUCUCAAAAUUAAAAUAAAAAAAGAAUUAGAACAUAUCUUCUUCCCCCUUUCAGACCAAAGCCCAGCAGGGCUGGCUCGUGGCCGGCACGGUGGGCUGCCCAAGCACAGAGGAUCCCCAGUCCUCCGAGAUCCCCAUCAUGAGUUGCUUGGAGUUCCUCUGGGAACGGCCUACUCUCCUUGUGCUGGGUAGGUGGAUGUCCCUGCGUUUGUGCCCAGAUUACAUUUCCCGAGCAACUGGGUGUCCAGCUGGGCAACCCUAACCCUCAGCCCCACGCCCUGCAGGGAAUGAGGGCUCAGGUCUAUCCCAGGAGGUGCAGGCCUCCUGCCAGCUUCUCCUCACCAUCCUGCCCCGGCGCCAGCUGCCUCCUGGACUUGAGUCCUUGAACGUCUCUGUGGCUGCAGAGUUGGGAACCUUGAAUGAGAUCACACACACAAAGGCACUCAGCACACCAAACGCGGGGCAUCCCUCCUGUCCUGCCAGUUUGCAGGCCGUCUGAGCUCAGCUCAUUGAUUGAUUGAUUGGGUGAAAGGAUCAUGGAGAGGAUGCCAUCCAGUUGGAGAUAUGGUGUGAGCUGAAAAUCCCAGAGUAAAUGUCCUUUCCAGGACAGCAGAGACGAAAAGAGCUUUUCUGGCUGGGAGAUUCCAAGAAGGCUUUGUGAAGAAGGAGCAGCAUUAACCCGAGUUUCUCAGUGGGCUCAGACUUACAGGUGGAGAAGGGAAGGGGAUGCGGUGGGAGGAAUGGCAUGGGCAAAGGCCUUCAGUGAGAAAGCUGGGCACACAGCCGUAAAAUGGCUGUGAAUAGGCUGCUUUCCUAGAGCAAAGGGUAAGUGCGGUAAAACGGAAAGGGCGUUGUUCCCAAUUCCUGGAUUAUUAAAACAAAAGCGGGAUAUAUUGGGAAAAGAGUAGGAGGCUGAAUUAUUUGGAUAAUUACAAAACUGUUCCCUUGAAUCCCCGAUUUGCUUUGCUCCCUGUGGGUGGCUUGCCUCCUUUCUCCUUCACCGCGGGGAUCACAGGCUUCAGAAACCCUGAGGGGAAUGUCCCCAGAGAAGAGCCCCUCCCGUCUCCCCUUCUCCCUCAGGUCGUCACUUUGCCUCCUUAACCCCACUCCCACUCCUCAAAGGAAGAAGGUGGUGUUGGAGGAAGACUGGAGGGGGAGCCCCCUAUCUGAGGUCCCCAGACUGUCUUCAGAGAAAGGGAGGAGCAGCCUCAGCUUGGCGUCUGGGGCCCUGUUUCAUCCUUGGGUCCGUGAGGGAAGAGGAUUCUGCUCCCUGCCAGAAACAUUCCUGCUGGCAGAGCAGUCCCCGAUAGCAGCAGGAAUGAAGAACAUGGGCCGAAGGAGGAGAUAAUUUAGGCCUGUUUCCCUGGCUGAUUCCGCUGUGCCUCCUUCUAUCUCUCUGCCUCUGAUUCUCUCCUCCUCUGUCUCUCUCAUGGUCUCUGAAGGAGAUGAAUUCCAGGUGACUCUCCGGGCUCCACUGUGCUUCCUGGGAGCUGCGCGCUGGGGGUGAUGUUUGUCCCUUCUCACUGUAGACUGAGCUUGGGAUUUCUCAGCCCCCAGUUACUUAGAUGUGGCUUUGGUCCUCUUUGGGGCCCUAGGGUGGGUGGGGAGCCCACAUUUUCUCUCUCCCCCAUUCUUCUAGAGCCCAGCCAGCCUCCAUGGGCCACCAACUACAUCCUCCAUGGAGAAUCUUCAAAGCUCUAGAGCCCCUAUUCCCAAACCAUUUCCUGUCUUUUUUAUUACAUGGACUUACUCCAAAAAGGAGCGAAAGAACUUGUACAUGUUUCCAUUCUGAUCAGUUCUUUCUGGAUUUUCCGGGCAUUUUUGUUACCAGGUGUCUGAAAGAUCCUGAGUGCUAUGAACUGGCUUUCACAUCUGCGACCUGCUGUAGCCCUCCCACAACACUGGGCCCAGGGGUGUUGAUUUUCUUUUACAAAUGGGGCAACUAAGGCAUGUUAACAGCUGAGCCUAGGUUUGAACCUGGUUCCCCCUGUGCUGGUGCAGAGCUGUUUCCCCUGGGAUAUAUGUCUCCAGUGUCACUGCCCUUCCACUGGGUUUCCUGCUUUUACCUAACAUCGACUCACACGGUCAUUUUCGGGGUGGCAGGGCCUCCUGUCUUGUCGUUUUAAUGGCCACAUGGCAUUCCAUCAUGUUGAUGGAUCAUUUUGUUUGGUCACUCCCUCAUCGUUGGAUAUGUGUGAGGUGUCUAAUUUCUUGCUAUAAUAAAUGCAACUGCUGUA
Molecule: long non-coding RNA, 2656 nt
Filed under: Homo sapiens (human)
Lineage: Eukaryota; Metazoa; Chordata; Mammalia; Primates; Hominidae
Description: HSALNT0389537
Source: RNAcentral